This 443-nucleotide ribosomal RNA is filed under the name uncultured bacterium. RNAcentral describes it as "partial 16S ribosomal RNA". It matches the Rfam family "Bacterial small subunit ribosomal RNA", at positions 338 to 795 of the family's 1533-position model. The record is from RNAcentral.
CCUACGGGUGGCAGCAGUGGGGAAUAUUGGGCAAUGGACGCAAGCCUGACCCAGCAACGCCGCGUGAAGGAUGAAGGCCUUCGGAUUGUAAAGUUCUUUUCUCAGGGACGAAGCAAGUGACGGUACCUGAGGAAUAAGCCACGGCUAACUACGUGCCAGCAGCCGCGGUAAUACGUAGGAGGCAAGCGUUAUCCGGAGUGACUGGGUGUAAAGGGCGCGUAGGUGGGACGGCAAGUCAGUUGUGAAAACCAUGGGCUCAACCUAUGACCUACAUUUGAAACUGUUGGUCUUGAGUGCAGGAGAGGCAGACGGAAUUCCUAGUGUAGCGGUGGAAUGCGUAGAUAUUAGGAGGAACACCAGUGGCGAAGGCGGACUGCUAGACAGCAACUGACGCUGAGGCGCGAAAGCGUGGGGAGCAAACAGGAUUAGAUACCCGUGUAGUC